This 497-nucleotide ribosomal RNA is filed under the name uncultured bacterium. RNAcentral describes it as "partial 16S ribosomal RNA". It matches the Rfam family "Bacterial small subunit ribosomal RNA", at positions 28 to 507 of the family's 1533-position model. The record is from RNAcentral.
GACGAACGCUGGCGGCGUGCCUAAUACAUGCAAGUUGAGCGCUGAAGGUUGGUACUUGUACCAACUGGAUGAGCAGCGAACGGGUGAGUAACGCGUGGGGAAUCUGCCUUUGAGCGGGGGACAACAUUUGGAAACGAAUGCUAAUACCGCAUAAAAACUUUAAACACAAGUUUUAAGUUUGAAAGAUGCAUUUGCAUCACUCAAAGAUGAUCCCGCGUUGUAUUAGCUAGUUGGUGAGGUAAAGGCUCACCAAGGCGAUGAUACAUAGCCGACCUGAGAGGGGGAUCGGCCACAUUGGGACUGAGACACGGCCCAAACUCCUACGGGAGGGAGCAGUAGGGAAUCUUCGGCAAUGGACGAAAGUCUGACCGAGCAACGCCGCGUGAGGGAAGAAGGUUUUCGGAUCGUAAAACUCUGUUGGUAGAGAAGAACGUUGGGGAGAGUGGAAAGCGCAUCAAGUGACGGUAACUACCCAGAAAGGGACGGCUAACUACGUG